Molecule: unclassified non-coding RNA, 374 nt
Filed under: soil metagenome
Description: partial contains internal transcribed spacer 2 and large subunit ribosomal RNA
Rfam family: 5.8S ribosomal RNA (bases 1-120)
Source: RNAcentral
GAUGAAGAACGCAGCGAAAUGCGAUAAUUAAUGUGAAUUGCAGAAUUCCGUGAAUAAUCGAGUCUUUGAACGCACAUUGCGCCUCAUGGCAUUCCGUGAGGCAUGCCCAUCUCAGCGUUAGAAAAUAUUCUCAAAUUUUAGUUUUGUGCUAAAAUUUGGAUCAUGUCAAGGAAGCUAUUACUAUUAUUGUGAUCGCUCUUUGGAAAUUGAUAGGUCUUUGAGUUGCUACUCAUAGAACGUGAUGAAUCUUUCUUCGUUCUAUUGUAAUUCACUCUGGUAGUCCUAAAACUUGUAUGCCUGUGGCAUAUCUUGUAAUUUGACCUGAGAUUGGGUAGGGAUACCCGCUGAACUUAAGCAUAUCAAUAAGCGGAGGA